AGUGAAUGCUACAGGUAUGCUUAACACAUGCAAGUCGAACGAAGCAUAUGCUUAGUGGCGUACGGGUGAGUAGAAUAGGGGAACUAAAAGUAAGACUAGGACAAGGGAUUUUUCCGUAUAAAUCCUAGAUAUUGAAAGGAUUAUAUCGCUUACUUCAAGGCCUUUAUAGGAUUAGGUUGUUGGUUGUGUAAUGGACUACCAAGCCUGUGAUCCUUAGCUGGUCUGAGAGGAUGAUCAGCCACACUGGGACUGAAACAAGGCCCAGACUUCUAUGGAGGGCAGCAGUGAGGAAUAUUGGACAAUGAGUGCAAACUUGAUCCAGCAAUACCUACUGAGUGAUGAAGGGAACUCU
This 352-nucleotide ribosomal RNA is filed under the name uncultured bacterium. Its description in RNAcentral is "bacterial SSU rRNA". It matches the Rfam family "Bacterial small subunit ribosomal RNA", at positions 29 to 421 of the family's 1533-position model. The record is from RNAcentral.